GACGCCUCCUGCGAGCACCUGACUCCCAGAGCUACUCCCGCAGAGAGUUGUAACUGCACGCAUUGCCUUCUUGCAGCAAAUAACUAAACUGUGACUCGCAGCUGCUGCUGCAAUUUUUAGUGAUGGAGCUGGAACUCUGAGCUGAUCUGCACAUGCAUUCCUCUGGCCACAGGGACUGCUUCAGGAGCAACAUGGAAACGAGCUUGGAUGAAAAAGGAUGAGAAGAGACGUGCAGAACCUUCUGAGAAAGAGUUUCCCUCAUUCUUACAAGAGAAUCACAGGAAGAAACACCCUCUUUUUCUCUGGACCUUGAGGAAGGCAGAUUUUGCCAUGGGAAAAGUCAGUGUAAGGACGAAUCCAACAAACAGAGGAAUAACAAACAGUCUUGGCAGGCAGGAUUAAGUUAAACCUGAAGCGUUCUCUGCUCUGGAAUUCCGUUAUGUGGACCCGUGAAUUCCCAGUUACUGAACCAGUAAAAAAUUAGUUCAGUCUGAGUUUCUGUUACUUUCAAGCAAAAGUAUCCUAACUGCAAAGGUUUCUGUGAAUUCCUAACUCCUGGACCCUGAUCCUGAGGCAAUGCAAGAGGACGCAUGAAUAACAAUCUGAACAAACAAAUAUCAGUACACUUCCAGUCAAACCAUUAAGAGGGAGGCCUCAACAGCAAGAUCAUUUUCCAAGUGUGUGGGGCUUCAAGAGUGGGGAGAAGAUCCAGUGAGCCUUUCUGAGGGCACUCUGUUUAGUAUUCAGUAUUCGGCUUAUUAACCUGGCAGUCCUGUCCUUCUGACUUGAAUAGUUUUGUGAGUUAAGGAUAGUUUACAACUUUUCUGACUCUUGCAGGUGACUCAUUCAUCAGAUGGCCUUUCUAUACCAGCCACGUGUUUCCCACUCCUCUUCCUCCUACUUCGUGUGACGUUGCACAUUCCACAUUUUAGCUCAUUGAGCAUAAGAAAUAGGCAAGGCACAUGCGGUGACCAUAGCUACCAGGCCCCUGUGGCAGACACUGUUGGCUGUCUUCCCAAGGUCAUACCAAGUUUCCCAGCUUCCUUGCUGGCGUGGCUGUCUCCCCCAGCAGAGACAAAAAAUGCCAAGUACUCGCAUUCUCAGCCUCCCUGGUGACCCCAAUUCUGGCCAGUGAUGUAAAGGGAAGUCUGCUUGGAAUUUAUGAGAAAGAAGAAAAGAAAGAACGGUUUGUCCUCACUCCCCACCCGCUGCCUUUCUGUUUUUAAUGUGAUUGUGUGAAGAUGUGAUGCUCAGAACCCAGGAGGCCAUGUUGUGACAAUGGGGGUCAAGAUCAAGAAAUUGUAGUGCUGGCCUGGGUAGCUCAGUUCGUUAGAGUGGAUAUGCCAAGGUUGUGGGUUCAAUCUCUGGUCAGCGCACAUACAAGAAUCAGCCAAUGAGUGCAUAAAUAAGUGAACAACAAAUCAAUA
Long non-coding RNA from Myotis myotis, 1427 nucleotides. RefSeq lists it as uncharacterized. The record is from RefSeq and is a predicted model, not a curated record. The transcript is spliced from 3 exons. Lineage: Eukaryota; Metazoa; Chordata; Mammalia; Chiroptera; Vespertilionidae.